This 253-nucleotide non-coding RNA is filed under the name Enterococcus sp. RNAcentral's name for it is "T-box sequence". It matches the Rfam family "T-box leader". From Rfam's summary of the family: Uncharged tRNA acts as the effector for transcription antitermination of genes in the T-box leader family. The record is from RNAcentral. Lineage: Bacteria; Bacillati; Bacillota; Bacilli; Lactobacillales; Enterococcaceae.
CAAAACUCAUUGAAAAGAAGAGUACACAAGCAGACAUUUAAACCCAGUAUAUUUACGUGGGAACCAGAGAGCUUUCAUUUGGUGGAAGAAAGCAAAUGAAGACUUGUCGAAAAUGAUCUUGGAGAGGAAAAGUCAUUAGUGAUUUUUACGGCUGCUACCGUUAGCAAAGCACCAAAUCAAGAAGUUAUUCGGCGUUUGGAUUAAGAUGGAAGUUAUUUCCAAUAAAGGUGGUACCGCGAUAGUCGCCCUUUAC